This 254-nucleotide ribosomal RNA is filed under the name uncultured bacterium. RNAcentral's name for it is "partial 16S ribosomal RNA". It matches the Rfam family "Bacterial small subunit ribosomal RNA", at positions 524 to 776 of the family's 1533-position model. The record is from RNAcentral.
UACGUAGGAGGCGAGCGUUGUCCGGAGUUACUGGGCGUAAAGGGUGCGCAGGCGGCGUUCCGCGUGGCGAGAUGAAAUCUCCUGGCUUACCUGGGAGGGUGGUCGCCAGACGGGAGCGCUUGAGGGUCGGAGAGGGGCGUGGAAUUCCGGGUGGAGCGGUGAAAUGCGUAGAUAUCGCUUGGAACGCCAACGGUGAAAACAGGUUGCUGGGGGUGUGCUGACGCUGAGACACGAAAGCCAGGGGAGCGAACGGG